AGCAGCCGCGGUAAUUCCAGCUCCAAUAGCGUAUAUUAAAGUUGUUGCAGUUAAAAAGCUCGUAGUUGAAUUUCGGAAUCAAUAUGUCGGUCGUGCUUCGGUACGUACUGGUAUCAUUGGUUUCUCCUUUCUGACGAACCAUGAUGUCAUUAAUUUGGUGUUAUGGGGAGUUAGGACUGUUACUUUGAAAAAUUAGAGUGUUUAAAGCAGGCUUACGCUUGAAUACAUUAGCAUGGAAUAAUGAAAUAGGACGUUUGAUUCUAUUUUGUUGGUUUCUAGGAUCGACGUAAUGAUUAAUAGGGAUAGUUGGGGGCAUUAGUAUUCAAUUGUCAGAGGUGAAAUUCUUGGAUUUAUUGAAGACUAACUACUGCGAAAGCAUUUGCCAAGGAUGUUUUCAUUAAUCAAGAACGAAAGUUAGGGGAUCGAAGACGAUCAGAUACCGUCGUAGUC
This 450-nucleotide ribosomal RNA is filed under the name uncultured Glomus. RNAcentral's name for it is "SSU rRNA". It matches the Rfam family "Eukaryotic small subunit ribosomal RNA", at positions 569 to 1025 of the family's 1831-position model. The record is from RNAcentral. Lineage: Eukaryota; Fungi; Glomeromycota; Glomeromycetes; Glomerales; Glomeraceae.